This 1436-nucleotide ribosomal RNA is filed under the name uncultured archaeon. RNAcentral describes it as "bacterial SSU rRNA". It matches the Rfam family "Archaeal small subunit ribosomal RNA". The record is from RNAcentral.
UCCGGUUGAUCCUGCCGGAGGCUACCGCUAUUGGAAUCCGAUUAAGCCAUGCGAGUCGAGAGGGUUUAGCCCCUCGGCGGACGUCUCAGUAACACGUGGAUAAUCUGCCCUUGAGUGGGGAAUAAACUCGGAAACCUGAGUAUAAUACCCCAUAGGCCUAGGAUGCUGGAAUGCUUCUAGGCUCAAAGCUCCGGCGCUCAAGGAUGAGUCUGCGACCUAUCAGGCAGUAGUGGGUGUAACGGACCCACUAACCUUCGACGGGUACGGGCCUUGAGAGAGGUUGCCCGGAGUUGGACUCUGAGACACGAGUCCAGGCCCUACGGGGUGCAGCAGGCGCGAAAACUUCACAAUGUGGGAAACCGCGAUGAGGGGAUUCCAAGUGCUAACACUUUGUGUUAGCUGUUCACCUGCCUAAAAAGCUGGUGAAGUAAGGGCCGGGUAAGACGGGUGCCAGCCGCCGCGGUAAUACCUGCGGCCCGAGUGGUGGUCGUUAUUAUUGAGCCUAAAGCGUCCGUAGCCGGUUCAGUAAAUCUCUGGGUAAAUCGGGCAGCUCAACUGUCCGAAUUCCGGAAAGACUGCUGAACUUGGGACCGGGGGAGGUUGGAGGUACUCCUGGGGUAGGGGUGAAAUCCUGUAAUCCUAGGGGGACCACCAGUGGCGAAGGCGUCCAACCAAAACGGCUCCGACGGUAAGGGACGAAGCCCUGGGGCGCAAACGGGAUUAGAUACCCCGGUAGUCCAGGGUGUAAACGCUGCAGGCUUGGUGUUGGGGGUCCUACGAGGGCGCCCAGUGCCGGAGAGAAGUUGUUAAGCCUGCCGCUUGGGGAGUACGUCCGCAAGGAUGAAACUUAAAGGAAUUGGCGGGGGAGCACAGCAACGGGUGGAGCGUGCGGUUCAAUUGGAUUCAACGCCGUAAAACUCACCGGGAGCGACGGUUACAUGAAGGCCAGGCUGAUGACCUUGCCUGAUUUCCGAGAGGUGGUGCAUGACCGUCGUCAGUUCGUACCGUAAGGCGUUCUGUUAAGUCAGAUAACGAACGAGACCCUCAUCCUUAUUUGCUCCUAUCUCUUUCGAGGGAUAAGCACUAUAAGGAGACCGCUGGCGCUAAGUCAGAGGAGGGGGAGGUCAACGGUAGGUCAGUAUGCCCCGAAUCUCCCGGGCAACACGCGCGCUACAAAGGGCUGGACAAUGAGUUUCAACACCGAAAGGUGAAGGCAAUCUCGAAACCAGCUCAUAGUCCGGAUUGAGGGCUGUAAUUCGCCCUCAUGAAGCUGGAAUCCGUAGUAAUCGCGGGUUAACAUCCCGCGGUGAAUAUGCCCCUGCUCCUUGCACACACCGCCCGUCAAACCAUCCGAGUUGGGUCUAGAUGAGGGUGCUUCUACAUGGGGCGUUCAAAUCUGGGUUUAGCAAGGGGGGUGAAGUCGUAACAAGGUAGCC